Molecule: ribosomal RNA, 254 nt
Filed under: uncultured bacterium
Lineage: Bacteria
Description: partial 16S ribosomal RNA
Rfam family: Bacterial small subunit ribosomal RNA
Source: RNAcentral
UACGUAGGGCGCAAGCGUUGUCCGGAAUUAUUGGGCGUAAAGAGCUCGUAGGCGGUUUGUCACGUUGUUCGUGAAAACUCACAGCUUAACUGUGGGCGUGCGGGCGAUACGGGCAGACUGGAGUACUGCAGGGGGAGACUGGAAUUCCUGGUGUAGCGGUGGAAUGCGCAGAUAUCAGGAGGAACACCGGUGGCGAAGGCGGGUCUCUGGGCAGUAACUGACGCUGAGGAGCGAAAGCGUGGGGAGCGAACAGG